CGACGCAUCAUUUCUUCCUCCUCUUUUCCCAUUCGCUUCCCCCCGCUCUUCUCUGGCGAGUGACGAGCCCCCAAGGUGAGAUGGCUCGUAAGAGGCGUCACGAAGUAUGUGAUUUUACCGACAGUGACUCUGAAUAAGAUGUUGAGACUCAUUCUAUUGAGGAAUAUUCAAUUCCAAAUGUUUAUCAUAUCAUCUUGAUUCGUUCUCUUGAUCCUGGUUCAUCAUAUCAUCUUCACUUGGCAAGCUAUGCAUGGUGAUCUUCAUUCCAAAUGUUUGUCAUGGUGAGUUCUAAUAAUAAAAUUUAUUUCCAGUAUAUUUUUUCUAUAGUAUCAAAUUUUCUUACCUCAGCUCCUUUAUGUUCCUCAUUCACUGGAAUCUGUUCAUAUUCUUCUGGCAUUGCAUGAUGGAGUUUGAUUUCAUGCAAUUUAGAAGAAUAAAAAUAACUAUGGAAAGAUGUUCCGAUCACUCGUGACAACAUGACCUAUCUAGGUAUAAAAGACGGUGGUCCUCAAGACUGCCUGGUUCUAGCUUGGUCUGCUACCGAUGAAAACAACAUGUUCAUGACCACAGUUCAUGCUUUGGAGAAGUUGGUUGGUUCUGUAGAGGUUGCGUUGUUCAGGAUUGCAUUAGACCCAGGGCGCAAGUUUGGUUUCAUUCUUUGUCCUGAUGAUGAGAUGGCAAAGUCACUUCAUGCACACUACGUUACAAUUGGUAUGGAGAAGAUCUUUGAUGUGGUCAGGAGUGUGAAGUAUUUGCCCUUUUUAUGAUGAUGUCAAUCAGCACCCAAGGGCACUAAAGUGGAUCUGAAUCAAGUCUUCUCAACAUCAAACUAGGCAGAAUUCAGAUAUGUCUUGUCUCUGAAUUAUCCAAAUAUCUGUAUGUAGUAUUCAGAUGUCUCUUAUCUGAAUCUUAUAUAUGAACAACUUUUAAGUAUGGUAAAUUUGGAAGCAUCUAGCUAUCUUUUGUAUGUGUAAUAUGCAAUUAGCAAGAUAUAUGCUUCAUCCAUGUGUCUGAUGGCAGAUUAUAUAUGAACAACUAUAAGUAUUGUAAUAUUACUGGUGUAGCUAAUUUGGAUGAUGUCUUGAGGCUUUUGUUCUACAUAUAUUUUCGUUUUGCUGGAAGA
Setaria italica (foxtail millet) is the source of this 1123-nucleotide long non-coding RNA. RefSeq lists it as uncharacterized. The record is from RefSeq and is a predicted model, not a curated record. Lineage: Eukaryota; Viridiplantae; Streptophyta; Magnoliopsida; Poales; Poaceae. The transcript has 3 exons.